UUCCUAUUACACAUCCUAGCAUAGAGCCACAAUUCUUCACAGAAUCCCAAAGCAGUACCUGAAGGGAAAAUGUGGAUUUGUCUUUGGAGUUACAUCACCAAGCCUUUGGCAAGUUUUUAACAAAACUGGGAUUUUCUUGUAUAUAGAGAAGGCUCCAGACCCUCCCUUGCUCUCCCCAGAUUCUAGAAAUUCUCAGGGACUCAUCCAGAGAAGGAAACAGCCAGAAGAUCCUAUGAAGACAAGGUGAAACCAAACAUGCUGUGUUCACCGCAGUUUUAAUAAGGAUGGAAUGCAGUGUCUAUUCCUAGGCCUGAGCACGGUGCACUGAAGCCUUGAAACUUCUGGGCUCAAAUGAUUCUCCUGCCUCAACCUACUGAGUAGCCCGCCACAUCUGGGUUGUUUCCGACUUUUCAAUAUUAUAAACAAUAUUGCAAUAAACACACAUUUCUAUAAAUA
Molecule: non-coding RNA, 456 nt
Organism: Callithrix jacchus (white-tufted-ear marmoset)
Lineage: Eukaryota; Metazoa; Chordata; Mammalia; Primates; Cebidae
Source: RefSeq, a predicted model, not a curated record